RNAcentral lists this long non-coding RNA (1234 nucleotides) under Malus domestica (apple). RNAcentral describes it as "long non-coding RNA (MDOM_LNC005002)". The record is from RNAcentral. Lineage: Eukaryota; Viridiplantae; Streptophyta; Magnoliopsida; Rosales; Rosaceae.
CAUGCUGGGCUUGUCCCUGCACCCUAGCCCACUUCUGACAAGCCUGCUGUUUGUUGGACCUUGUACUUGCGCCCCUGGCCCUCAUGCAGCAACCCAUGUGCUGUUGGGCUAACCUAUGCGACUCGCUUGCACCAGCCCUUUUUGGUGCUAGGCUUGCCAUGCCAUGGCCCAAAAUCAAAGCCAACCUUUAGCUGGGCUUUGUCGUUUCCCAACCCAAGCCAACGUAUGCUAGGCCUACUUCACGGGGUAAUUUUUGGCCUAAAUUUUAGUAGCCUUUACUACUGAGCUCGUCUCAGACCCACGAGGCUUGUAUCCUCCCCGUGACCCGAUAGUCCUAGAAUCGUUCAUCAGGGUCUUCCUCGUGCACUGCAACCAACCCAAUCAAGCUGAGCUACGUUAUUUUUUGUUUGACCCAAUGCCAAUUUUUGGCAUUUCCGCUUGAUAACCAUACCCAUUUAAUUUUUCGGACGUUUUGGUUAACACUAAUUAAGCUCUAAUUCACUUGUUGCUUAGUCUGCUACCAAUCGAAGCUAAUAUGAUCUGAACAUCAUUAUUUUACUUCCACGAUCGACUCCGUAUGGUCCCGAUCUAUUGAAUUAAUUAAAAGUGACCAGACGUCCAUUAAUUUGACAUAACAUCCAAAAUUAUUGGCCUGAAGCCCACAUUUGGACAUUAACGAUUCACUAUUUUAUUUCUUAUCUUUGAACCGCUGACUCCCUUUCGUUGUCAUGAACCACUGACACUUGAGUUCCUGAAGCAACCUAAAUCCACUACACUUGGUUGUAUAUUGUAUUAUGUGUACAAGUACUUCCUUUUAUGAAUCGUGUUGAUGCACAAAAUUAGUGAGGACUUUGGUACAACAGAAAGUGUUAAGUUUAUGACCUUCGCUAGAUUGCUCCGAUCACUAGUAUGGAUAAGUAUGUAAAUGGAUAGAGAUAUGGAAGCAAACACAAGAUGUACGUGGUUCAUCCAGAUUGGCUACGUCCACAGAGUAGAGGAGUUCUCAUUAAUUAUGAAGGGUUUACACAAGUACAUAGGUUUAAGCUCUCCUUUAGUGAGUACAAGUGAAUGAUUUAGUACAAAUGACAUUAGGAAAUAUUGUGAGAGAAUGAUCUCUAUUUAUAGAAGAGAGUUUCUAGUUUCAUUCUGACAUUAACAUGUGUCGUGUUGUGAUUGGCUUCUGAUGUUGACAUGUGUCGCGCUAUGAUUGGCUUCUGAUGUCAACACAUGUCGU